GGACAGAUGGCCGAGUUGGUUAUGGCGCCAGAUUAAGGUUAACCUUAAUAACAUUUUCUGGUCUCGAAAGGGGCGUGGGUUCGAGUCCCACUCUGUUCA
This is a non-coding RNA of Acephala macrosclerotiorum, 99 nucleotides long. Lineage: Eukaryota; Fungi; Ascomycota; Leotiomycetes; Helotiales; Mollisiaceae. The record is from the annotation of a GenBank genome assembly.